UGAGAAUUUUUGGAACUAUCUCAUUUGUUUGUUUUUUCGGCACUGUGAUUUUUGCAGCUCGUUCCAUAGGCCCACCACUCUGUGUGCAAAACUAUGGCAACUAUUCUACGGCAAUCUUGAAAAGUUG
This is a long non-coding RNA of Amblyraja radiata (thorny skate), 127 nucleotides long. RefSeq lists it as uncharacterized. The transcript has 4 exons. The record is from RefSeq and is a predicted model, not a curated record. Lineage: Eukaryota; Metazoa; Chordata; Chondrichthyes; Rajiformes; Rajidae.